RNAcentral lists this ribosomal RNA (664 nucleotides) under Rhodococcus sp. (in: high G+C Gram-positive bacteria). RNAcentral's name for it is "bacterial SSU rRNA". It matches the Rfam family "Bacterial small subunit ribosomal RNA", at positions 87 to 766 of the family's 1533-position model. Lineage: Bacteria; Bacillati; Actinomycetota; Actinomycetes; Mycobacteriales; Nocardiaceae. The record is from RNAcentral.
GUGGAUUAGUGGCGAACGGGUGAGUAACACGUGGGUGAUCUGCCCUGCACUCUGGGAUAAGCCUGGGAAACUGGGUCUAAUACCGGAUAUGACCUCGGGAUGCAUGUUCUGGGGUGGAAAGUUUUUCGGUGCAGGAUGAGCCCGCGGCCUAUCAGCUUGUUGGUGGGGUAAUGGCCUACCAAGGCGACGACGGGUAGCCGGCCUGAGAGGGCGACCGGCCACACUGGGACUGAGACACGGCCCAGACUCCUACGGGAGGCAGCAGUGGGGAAUAUUGCACAAUGGGCGCAAGCCUGAUGCAGCGACGCCGCGUGAGGGAUGACGGCCUUCGGGUUGUAAACCUCUUUCACCCAUGACGAAGCGCAAGUGACGGUAGUGGGAGAAGAAGCACCGGCCAACUACGUGCCAGCAGCCGCGGUAAUACGUAGGGUGCGAGCGUUGUCCGGAAUUACUGGGCGUAAAGAGCUCGUAGGCGGUUUGUCGCGUCGUCUGUGAAAUCCCGCAGCUCAACUGCGGGCUUGCAGGCGAUACGGGCAGACUCGAGUACUGCAGGGGAGACUGGAAUUCCUGGUGUAGCGGUGAAAUGCGCAGAUAUCAGGAGGAACACCGGUGGCGAAGGCGGGUCUCUGGGCAGUAACUGACGCUGAGGAGCGAAAGCGUGGGU